GUCAUUAACCAACUUCCCCAAAAUCAAAAUUGUAAUCUAUUCUCAUAAUCCUAUUAACGGGGCCACAAAAUAAACGCCAAAUGCUUUAUUUCACUGUUUCAUUACACAGUUUUACACUCAAAACUAAAGAAGAAAACCCAAAGAAAGAAGGUAGUAUAUCUAUCUUCUGCUCAGUAUUGCAUUUUUCUAUUCUUAUAUAUGAUCUUGAUGCUGAGGUUGAUCCACGUCCUCUCCAUUUCCAGAUGCUUCAUCCCUGGAUUGCUCUGAGUUUCUGUUGUUGGGCUCUGUGCCAUUAACCACAGUCUGCUGUUUCUCCAUCAUCCCAGACAGCGCUAAUCUUGGAGACCACUCAAGAACAUCAUCAAUGAUGUUUGACAUCCGUUUUUGAUACCUAGCUCUAGCAGCCUCAUCAGGGGCAUGAUGUCUCAACAGUAAUAUGACCAGCACAGCUACCACUGCAUAGAAAAGCCUUGCAGUCCACUUAGGUCGUUCCUCCUCAUCUUUCUUUGGCCAGAAACGGAAUAAUUCUCGCAAAGUAGCCUCUUCAGCAAGGAUGUUGGGGAAAAACCAAACACGCUUUCCAAGAAUGAUAUAUAGAGUACCAAAUAUUGUAGCCCUCAUUAAAAGCAGGGAGAGAAUAAGUAAAAGGACCCCAGCACAUGAGUAGAGAAUCAGUAGCUUGCACCGAUGGGGAUAUACAGGA
RNAcentral lists this unclassified non-coding RNA (703 nucleotides) under Hevea brasiliensis (rubber tree). The record is from RNAcentral. Lineage: Eukaryota; Viridiplantae; Streptophyta; Magnoliopsida; Malpighiales; Euphorbiaceae.